CUUAACGUGUCGCAGACGAAUAAGUUUGUUUUAAAUUCUUUGAUUUUUAUUUGAAAUUAAUAGUGAACUUUUAAUAAAAAAAAUACAAAGUGGUUCGGAAAGAUGAUACAGAAAUCAAAAGAUGUUUACAAUUCAAAAAUCUUAGAUGCGGAAGUUUUUGAAAUUGUUAACAGUUUCACAUUGUGCAAAAGUGUAGAGCCAUUUUUAGCGGGUAGAGGAUUGACAAAGAGAAGUUUAAUGCUCAUUAAAUCAGAGCACUUGUCAAAAAUAUUUCCCGAUAGUGAACUUGGUCUACAGUUGGAGUUUGAAUUUGAAUUAAAAAAGUGGAAAAUAAAGAAUUUUCGAAGCCAGUGAACUGAAUUUAUAUAAUAAGAUUGAUGGCUAGUCACAAGACUUGCGUGAACACCUACAUCCACUUGGAGGUCUUUUGCAACUAAUUCCUCUACAAAUUUAUUGGUUUGUUUAAAAAAAAAAUAAUAUUUCAAUAAAUAAACUUACAAUUCAAAAGUUGUAACAAAAUGGUUAAUCCGAUAAAAUAUAUUCGUUUAGUUUAUGUAAUUUAUGCUAUCAGUAUUAACAAUUUUUUUGAAAAUAAAAUUUAUAAAAACCAUUU
Eupeodes corollae is the source of this 613-nucleotide long non-coding RNA. RefSeq lists it as uncharacterized. Lineage: Eukaryota; Metazoa; Arthropoda; Insecta; Diptera; Syrphidae. The transcript is spliced from 3 exons. The record is from RefSeq and is a predicted model, not a curated record.